RNAcentral lists this ribosomal RNA (505 nucleotides) under uncultured bacterium. RNAcentral's name for it is "partial 16S ribosomal RNA". It matches the Rfam family "Bacterial small subunit ribosomal RNA", at positions 28 to 507 of the family's 1533-position model. The record is from RNAcentral.
GACGAACGCUGGCGGCGUGCCUAAUACAUGCAAGUAGAACGCACAGUUUAUACCGUAGCUUGCUACACCAUAGACUGUGAGUUGCGAACGGGUGAGUAACGCGUUGGUAACCUGCCUGGUAGCGGGGGGUAACUCUUGGAAACGAUAGCUAAUACAGCAUAAUAUUGAUUAUUGCAUGAUAAUUGAUUGAAAGAUGCUAUUGCAUCACUACCAGCUGGACCUGCGUUGUAUUAGCUAGUAGGUGAGGUAACGGCUCACCUAGGCGAAGAUACAUAGCCGACCUGGAAGGGUGAACGGCCACAAUGGGACUGGGACACGGCCCAGAAUCCUACGGGAGGCAGCAGUAGGGAAUCUUCGGGAAUGGACGAAAGUCUGACCGGGCAAAGGCGCGUGAGUGAAGAAGGUUUUCGGAUCGUAAAGCUCUGUUGUAAGGGAAGAACGGGUGUGAGAGUGGAAAGUGCACACUGUGACGGUAUCUUACCAGAAAGGGACGGCUAACUACGUG